This is a small nuclear RNA of Otolemur garnettii (small-eared galago), 122 nucleotides long. The record is from Ensembl. NCBI's taxonomy places the organism in Eukaryota, Metazoa, Chordata, Mammalia, Primates, Galagidae.
GUGUUGUAUGAAAGGAGAAGUUAUCACUUCCCUUGACAAGGAUGGAAGAGGCCCUGGGCCUGACAACACAUAUAAGGUUAGGGCAUUGCCACCUACUUGGUGGUAUCUAACCAUCAUUUUUA